AUAGCUGCCCCUCAAGCGUUUUGGAUUCUGGUACGCUGAUCGCUUAACGAGCAAGUUAAGGUAUUUGCUUCAGGGUGAAGCGCGAGCGCUUUUAAAGCGCCGAGAGUAUGCAGUGUCUCACGAGGAGAAUCAUUCGCACGCUAUGCAAGAGGCCGUCAGUCCUAGAGCUUUCCGUGGAAGAUGAGGCGAAAAUUAGAGCGUUGGAGAAGGGUAUUAUUCCUGCUACAGGGGAGCCAGUAGAGGUCCUUCGUGCCCAGGUAUUCCACGAGUCCAGGUUCUCGGGCGCUUCUCCUGGACGAUCGGGUGUGCCCGUACUCAAAAAGCAGUAUCGUGGACCACUGUUGCUCUCGUGGUACCCGGAGCGUCUCGAGAAAAAUCCUUACUGUGAGAUUAAGCUUUCAGAGAAACAGGAGCGCUGGUGGCGGAAACUGCAAGUCUGGCGAGCGCAGGGGCGGGGCCCUCCACGUAAAGGCAGUGGCAAACGUGGAGGCAAAAAGUCUGGGAAGUAGGCUGAUCCCAGCUGAGCUCGGGGCUCCUGCCAGGGCUCGAACCUCGGCAAGGCGACUUUGCAGAGGCUGCAGCUCGAGUACUGCGAGACGCGUUUGCUACAGCGCACAAGCCAACAAAUGGUGCGAGUGACAUGGAUCCAGCGAUCGAGUCGGAUACCUCGCACGUAUGACAUACAGAGCAAGAAAUGAAGAGAGUCCGCCAUGACCAGGUCUGUCGUCCAUGCGGCAGCAUUUCGCGAUGCAUCCUCGCCUCUUGGGGGCUAGUGCGCAGCAUUUCAAAGACCUUGCCGAACGCGCAUAAACUGUAGCCUUUUGAGUUUCUCGCGGGCGCUUGUUGCUCGGUGAUUGCUUCGCAUUUGGAGACUGCAUUACUUUGCUGACGGCGAUAUCGCAGGGCACUGGUUCGGAAUGAAGUUGUUCUCCAAGGCGCGCUUUGGUUUGCUCUUCGUGAAAGAGUUUUUUCCGUGCAAAUCCUUAGCGAGGAUGAAACAAUGAGGUCUAAUUCGUCGUUAGCGCCGUUCGAUGGAGAUCUAUGCAGCUUUCAGUAAUUCAGGCAAUCUCGAAUGCACUGCACAACUUUUUCUGCGGAUGGCAAAUAGUUCUUCUCGUGGACAAGAGGGAAAGGCAUAUCAUAGCCACAUACGCGCAUGACCGGACUCUCCAGGUCGAGGAAACAUUCCUCCUGGAUUCGAGCGGCAACUUCGGCACCGACUCCACCAGUAAGCGGCGCCUCAUGGCUGACGAUGCAUCGCCCGGUGCGCGCAACGGAUUCGCACACUGUCGCUUCAUCCCACGGCAGAAUCGUUUGAAUAUCUAUGACCUCUGCCUCGAUCUUGUCUUCUCUGGCGACGACUUGGGCUGCUUCGAGAAGCACGCGGACUUGCGCUCCGUAUGCCACCAAGGUGAUGUCCGUCCCGGGGCGAACGAUCUCAGCCCGGCCAAGUGGCAACACAUACUUGCUGAGAGGUACCUCUGCCUGGGCUGCUCGAUAAAGUGCCUUGGGCUCGAAGAAGAUGACCGGAUCAUCCUCAGCGAUCGACUGCAACAAAAGGCCUUUUGCGGUGAACGGAUCGCGGGGUAUAACGACCUUGAUACCGGCCGUGUGCAAAAAAUAAGCCUCAGGAGAUUGCGAAUGGUAGUGCCCUCCAUGGCCGACCGCGCCGUAAGGCGCUCUGAUAACCACUCCACCACAAUUAAACUGUCCUCCAGAUCGGUAGCGAUAUUUCGCGA
Cyanidioschyzon merolae strain 10D is the source of this 1739-nucleotide RNA transcript. RefSeq lists it as hypothetical. NCBI's taxonomy places the organism in Eukaryota, Rhodophyta, Bangiophyceae, Cyanidiales, Cyanidiaceae. The record is from RefSeq and is a predicted model, not a curated record. The transcript has a single exon.